CAAAAGUAUUAUUGGGACCCCAUUCAUGACAAUGUGGUGCGUUUACAUUGGAAGAAGACAAUGAUGUCGUUGAUCUCCAACUUCAUCAGCAAGCGCAAGCGGAGUGGCAAGAUACCUCCAUUCAUGAGUUCAGAGCACUGGGGUGCUUUGCAAACAUAUUGGGGUACUGAACCUGCUAGAAAGAAAAGCAAGUCUGCUUCUGAAAGCCGCUGCUCAGAUCAAGGAGGUCUAGGUCAACACAUCCACACUGCUGGUUCGACACGAUUUAUGAAGAUCAAAUAUGAUACGGUAAAUAUGAAUGUUAAGUUUUAAAAGUUACUCCCUUGUAGUUAUAUCACUAUUAAAUCUCUCGCUAAUACAUUAACUUUAUUUACAUGGUGGUUAGAUGGUUGCUAAUGGUGGGAUUGAACCCUCGUUGAUUGAUCUUGUGAGAAAGACCCAUACUCGGAAAGAUGGCACAUUUGCAGAUGGUCGUGCAAAGAAAAUUGUAGAAGAUGUUGAAGCUGCAGUGACCCAUUCUGAAGGACUUGGCGUGGGGGGGUCUGCUGCAACAACACCAUCACCGCAACAACUUGAUAAGUUUUUUUAUUGAGGUAAAUGGCUUGUAACUAAUUAAGUUUAAAACUUCAUUGUGGUUAUUUGAUUGACACAAUUUUUUUAAUAGGCUGUCCCACCUUACAAAGGGCGUGUUUAUGGCCUUGGCUCUGCUCAUUGUUAUUAUGGUGAUUCCACGCCUUCCACCUCAACUGCUAUCCCACGCACAAUGCAAUUGGAGACAAGGGUGACUUUCAGCGAAGGCAACAUGAGUUCCAUGCAAGGUAGCAUCAACUCCAUGCAAGGUAACAUCAACUCCAUGGCCACAGAGAUUGCUGCUAUCAUGGAAGCCUCACGAAUGCUACUGGAGGCAAAUGGGAUUGAUCCAUCAGUUGUCCUCAAAUCAACAACUACUAAUCCAGCGGAGCCAGCGCAGGAAGCAACUCCGGAGCAGCAGUCACCAACUUUAAACCGCCAAACACAAGCUCCUGCUACCACUCCGAUCAACUUGGGGGACAUGGAACCUCAGUCUUUUGGUGGAUACUUUGAGAAUGAUCUCAACCAGUAGCAUUAUGCUUAAUUUUGUUUUUGUAUUAAAUAGGACUAACGGCAUAUUGAGCGUAUGAAAUGCUCUCUUUUGGUAGAACAUAUUAACUGGUCUUUUUUUAGUAGAACAUAUUAAUGUUCUUUGUUUGGUAUUAGAACAUGUGAAAGUUCUUUGUAUGCUAGAACAUAUGCAUGUUCUGUUUCUGUAAGAAUAUAUGAAUGUCUGUUUGUAUGACUUCGUUUUAAUUAGAAAUAUUUCGGAUAUUAAUAUUUUGUUUUCUAAUUAUUUUUUGUUAUUUGAAAAUUUAUUGGUUGAUAUUAAAUUACAAUUUUACAUUUUUUAAUGUUUUAGUUUGCCACGAAAAUUGACACAUUUCAUAAGUGGCUGUUAGUUAGGGAAUAUUCCGUUGCUAUAUUGUGGUAAAUCUGCUAGGAAUUUUUCGUAGCCAAUUCAUGGCAAAUAGCUAAGGAUUUAACGAGGCAAAAGCGUGGUGAUAAUCGUGGCAUUUAGCCAGGGACUAAACAAUGGCUUAUUCAUAGCUAAUAGCCACGUUCACAAGCCUUGGCAAAACCGCCGCAUAGGCCACGGACAGCUACGGCCUCCACUUUAGCAACGAUCGUAUAUCAACGAAAAAUAAUCGUGGCCUUACGUGGCGAUUUUCAUUUUAGCCAGAGAUGUGAUCCUUUAGCCACACCAAUUUCCCUGGCCAUCCGAUACAUUUCUUGUAGUGUUUGUGGCCAAAACCAAAUUAAGUUGUAGUUUAAAGAUUUAUUGGAUUCUUUAUCUUCCAUUACAUCAGAUUCAUCACCGUUAAAUGCUUUGAAAUCUUCUCAGAGCUCUCUUGCUUAAUCAGAGAAGAGAUUAUUAAUAGAUAUUACCGUCUUUACUUCGCAGCGGGAUGGCUUCACCAAAAUGGAAUCGAGCUGAAACACAGUCUGGAAACUCAAAUUCCUAAUGGCGACACCUGCAUCACCAUCGGCUGUAUCCAAAGCAGGCAUUGUAUCCAAAGAAGCCAGUGCCGUCCUAAUGUAAGUUGUAACCAGGUCUUAUUUUCCUCUCUAAUUUCAAUGUAAAACUAAAUAUUUGAUUUCUGUAGAAUUUGAUUAGUGAUUAAGGUGAGGCUUGAGGAGUAUUGAAUAUUGAUCGCACAACGACUAGAUUGUUCUACUUCAUGUGAUAGUUUAGUUGGAUCAUGUUAUACGCUUUUGAGUAUAACCAUUUACAAGAACCUACUGCUAAUGUAGUGGUGUCUUUUUAAAUUAGUUCCGCCUCCCUCUGUACUUAAAGCACAUCAAUUAAACAUUUGAUGACUUUUUUCAAUGAAUUUUUUUUUAUAUUUUAAUUUGCUUUUUUAGUAAAAGAUUGUGGUAGCUAUAUAAAAUUGAUUUCAAUAUUUAUGUGUUGAAUGGGACGGUGUGAUACUAGGUGUGGAUACCCGAGCAACUGAAGGGCCCAUUGUUUUCUGAUAAGAAUUAUGAGCAAAUUCACUUAAGGGUACCAAACAUAUAUUGAUGUGGGGUUGAACAGUGCAUUCCAAGUUAUGAAGAGAUACAAUAAUGUACUGUUUGAUGGAAGCUCAAUGAAACUAGAGAUUUUGGGUGGAAAUAUGAAGGAUGCUUUUUUUGCAAGCUCGUGUUAAUGCAACUGGAAUGAACGAAAGGAUGAAGAGGACUGAUUCCAUUGAGGAUGUCUUGCUAUUUAAUUUGUCCUUUUUCCACUUACGAAAGAAAACUGAAGUUUGUGACUCUAUACAUGCCACUGAUUAUAGAAAACAAUGAGUUAGAGGCGGGAGAGGCAGACUAGAAAGAUUUGCAACUUCUCCUUUGAGACGCUUUCCAAUGUAAGUAUUAUUGACUCUGAGUACACUUUCAUAUAAACUAUGUGGCGGUUUCCAUCUUCUAAUCAUAUUAUAUUUAGUGGCAGCCAAAACCAACAAGGUGUUGUGAGAAGCGAGGUGGUAGAGGCAGAGGCCAAGCUGAUGGUGGCAAAGGGAAUAAUGGCCCAGCUGGAGAUUGUCGUCCCUAAAAAUUUGCUAGAAAAUGAAAUAAAGAUCUCGGACAUGGACGUGCAGGAUAACAAUAGCAGUAGGAUUUUUACAGUUGCGGAUCCUCACGUAAACACGCUCAUGUCUGUUUAGGAGCAUCCGGAGCUAAAGCCGCUGUUGGUCAGACUUAUGCAACAAUCUUUUUCUGUAACUACGAGGUAUUUCCGCUUGAGUCAAGAGGUUAGAGGCUGCAACGAGUGUAUGACAGGAUACAAGGUGAUAAUUGUGCUACGAGAUAUCAGUGGGUUACUAACUAAUCAUACGACAGGGAAAAAGCCUCAUCGUUAAGAAAAUUUGCGCCGACCACCAGAGGAGUCAAGAAGCCUCACGUCCCGGAACCGCUGCUCUUCGUGAGAUUGAUUAUAAAAUAAAAUACCAGAAGAGUACAGAGCUGUUGAUCCGUAAAAUUUUAUUAAAUUUGAAGACAGUUAAAUUUACGUUAAUGUAUUUCAAUAAUUUUAAGAAAAACAAGGCAUAUUUUCAUAUUUUCAUAUUAAGAUCUAUAUGUAUAAAAAUAUGUUCGCUUCACUCCUGUUGCGCCACGUCAUAAAGUCGGUUCCUGACAGGCCGACACGUGUCCGGGUUGGAUGAUACUCACCGUUUCACUUAAGCACAAUUAUUAAUGGGCUUUUCUCUUUUUGUUAAUAAAUAUUUCAGAUCAGUGAUUUGGGCUUAACAUAAUUGGGUUUCUGGGCUCUAGGGUAACAUAUGAGGGGGUCCCACAUGAGACGGCUUCUUCUCCAAAAAUAAUGUCGACGAACGAAAGACAGAUCUACUGCGUUUUAACAACUCCGGUUCAAACCUACGGCCAAUGAGGAUUUGCUGCACCGGCCACGCUGAAUUCCGAUCAAGGUCAGUUGGAAGGCGUCGUAUUUGGCUGUUCGAUUCCACUUCUUCUACCCUUGGUUGAAUUUUCCUCAUCAAAUUUAAAAUAUUUUUUUUUAUUAAAUCGAGCAUGCAAUCUAACUUACCAUGUAAAUUUAUUAACAAAACAAUAAUGUAUUUCAAUAAUUUUAAGAAAAACAAGGCAUAUUUUCAUAUUUUCAUAUUAAGAUCUAUAUGUAUAAAAAUAUGUUCGCUUCACUCCUGUUGCGCCACGUCAUAAAGUCGGUUCCUGACAGGCCGACACGUGUCCGGGUUGGAUGAUACUCACCGUUUCACUUAAGCACAAUUAUUAAUAAAUAAAGAUUUAUUGUAUGUUUAUAUUUUAAAUGGGAUGAAUAAGCUGUUGAUUUAGGUAAUUAUUCGGUAUCAAAAAUCAGAAAACCCAUAUUGGCACAUCACCACAGCUGAAUUCGAGAAACUCAUCCGUAGAAUUAAUCAAGGAGAUUAAUGACAAACUAAGCAAACAAAUGGUGGAGAGGAAAUAGGGAGAGCUGAAAAAAUUGAGAGUUGUACAUUUGGACAGCUGAAAAAAAAUAGAAAGCAUUCUACAGCCUCGCCAUUAAAAAAGUUAUACUACUUGCACCACGAAAUGAAUUCAUCGUAAUCAAUGCUUACACUAUUUUCCAUACUGAUGGGAUCUUGAGAAGGUAUCUCAGAUAUUAGAAACUCUUCAAGAACAUAAUAAACAUUAUAUGCGGUUGAGUACUUUUUUUUUGUUUUUUUUUUGGAAUACACGGAUAUGUAUUCACAUAAUUCUCACUUAAUGUCAAUCAAAAAAGAAGAUUAUGUCAUGGUACAGACAUACAUACAAACGGAAUAUACAAUUACAUCACAAAAAGAAGAAGAAGCAUGAAUUACUUUAGGAAUGACUUCAAGUUUUGAGUCAUAUUCGGAAAAAAAAACCCUUAAAUAAGUUAGUUUAAUUAAGAAUAUUAUAAAACAAAACAUUUGAAUUAAAAUAAAUAUUAAAAAUAUAAUGUUAUUUAUCAGAGAAUAGUGAAAUUUACUGUCAUUAUAAUUCAAAACAAAAAAACUAAAAAAAAAAUUUCCUAUAUUUUGCAAAAUCAAUCUUAACUCAUGGAUAAAAUUAUGUGUGGCUCGCUCACGUGUUAUUGGCAAAACCGGAUUGACAACUAUACAAAAAAAGACUACCUACAAUAUUAUAAAAAAAAGAAAAAAUUGCCAAAACACCACGGAAAAACAACUAUAUUGUCUCUUUACCAUAAAUCCUUUUUUUGGUCGGAUUUGGACUUAGAUCCCCCUGACCAAUUUCAAAAAUUCAUAUCAAUUAUUUUAAGAAACAGAAAAAUAUGAAAAAUUAUUCAAAAUGUACAUAAACAUGAAACAAUCAUAUGAAAAAUAAUUUGGUUGACUAAAUAUUAGUGAAACACAAUUUCAUAUUUUGAUCUACGGAUAGUAGAAAACAAAAUCUACUAACUACGGAUAUGUAGAUCGUAGUUUCGGUUAACUACAUAGAUAUCUGGCGCUUUCAGAUUUUAAAAUCUACGAUUCGGUAAUCUGUCUACUAUCGCAGAAAGAAAAGGUUACGGUUUUACUUACGAUUUGAACGACGAAAGAUUUCACGAACUAAUGUUUCCUAUAUAUCUACUGGCUGAAAAUCACAGAAUCUGCCAGUUACUAAUAAUCUAGCAUGGUAACAUUUUGUUAUCUACUAAGAUACUAUAUCCUAUCUCUACCGGAUUAUACAGUCUAUCGUCAUAUCUACCAUCAUAUAUAAAAUCUACUGGCAGCAGAAUGCAUGUUCUCCCAAAUUCGUAAUCUUUUGGAAAAUAUUCCUAAAAUUUCUCCAAAAUCUGUUAAAAAAUAUUCUGUAAAUCUUUAUUUUCCCAAAUUUUACGUGUUUCCUAAAGUUAUUUUUUUUUAAAUAACCGUGAUCUCUCUUCCUCUUCACAAGUUCUUGAUUAAUUUUGAAACCACUCCAAAAAUUUGAAUCCCUUUUUGAAGAACAUGCAUAUAUAUGCCUCUUGUGGGGUGUGGAAAUUUGAUCCCAGUAAAGAAUGGGGAUUUGCUUUUGAUAAGGAAAAAGGAGGUAGAGUACUGGCUGUGGAAUUGACAAGUUCCUUUGAAUAUCUAAGGACUACGGCGUUUGAGGAUUUUGGAAUUGACCAAAACGAUGUCCAGCUUGAGUUAAGCUACUUACCUAUGGAGUUAAUCAGUACGAUAGGCUGUCCCCCAGUUAUCAUUGGGAAUGAUUGGCAAGUCAAAAAGGAUUGAAGGUUUAAGAUAUUGACAAAUGUCUAACUGACGAUUGUACUUCAAUCUACACCUCUGACUGGAGGGUAGCCUGGUACAAUUAUAGCAUGGUCUCUGAUGAGAUGAAACUUACCUGGUGGGGAGACUUUGUGGUGAGAGUUUUAUGUUACUUCUGUUAGAUUUUUAUGACAUUCUCAUAUUAAUAUAUAUUAUUCUGAUUGCAUAAUCCUUUUCUGUUUCAUUGCAGCAAAAGUAUUAUUGGGACCCCAUUCAUUACAAUGUGGUGCGUUUACAUUGGAAGAAGACAAUGAUGUCGUUGAUCUCCAACUUCAUCAGCAAGCGCAAGCGGAGUGGCAAGAUACCUCCAUUCAUGAGUUCAGAGCACUGGGGUGCUUUGCAAACAUAUUGGGGUACUGAACCUGCUAGAAAGAAAAGCAAGUCUGCUUCUGAAAGCCGCUGCUCAGAUCAAGGAGGUCUAGGUCAACACAUCCACACUGCUGGUUCGACACGAUUUAUGAAGAUCAAAUAUGAUACUAAGUCUGAACUUGUCUGAACUUGCUAAAGAUGUGCUU
Molecule: long non-coding RNA, 6796 nt
Filed under: Brassica napus (rape)
Lineage: Eukaryota; Viridiplantae; Streptophyta; Magnoliopsida; Brassicales; Brassicaceae
Description: long non-coding RNA (BNAP_LNC021542)
Source: RNAcentral